RNAcentral lists this ribosomal RNA (750 nucleotides) under Acinetobacter sp. Its description in RNAcentral is "bacterial SSU rRNA". It matches the Rfam family "Bacterial small subunit ribosomal RNA", at positions 56 to 802 of the family's 1533-position model. The record is from RNAcentral. Lineage: Bacteria; Pseudomonadati; Pseudomonadota; Gammaproteobacteria; Moraxellales; Moraxellaceae.
UGCAGUCGAGCGGAGAUGAGGUGCUUGCACCUUAUCUUAGCGGCGGACGGGUGAGUAAUGCUUAGGAAUCUGCCUAUUAGUGGGGGACAACAUUCCGAAAGGAAUGCUAAUACCGCAUACGCCCUACGGGGGAAAGCAGGGGAUCUUCGGACCUUGCGCUAAUAGAUGAGCCUAAGUCGGAUUAGCUAGUUGGUGGGGUAAAGGCCUACCAAGGCGACGAUCUGUAGCGGGUCUGAGAGGAUGAUCCGCCACACUGGGACUGAGACACGGCCCAGACUCCUACGGGAGGCAGCAGUGGGGAAUAUUGGACAAUGGGCGGAAGCCUGAUCCAGCCAUGCCGCGUGUGUGAAGAAGGCCUUUUGGUUGUAAAGCACUUUAAGCGAGGAGGAGGCUACUUAGAUUAAUACUCUAGGAUAGUGGACGUUACUCGCAGAAUAAGCACCGGCUAACUCUGUGCCAGCAGCCGCGGUAAUACAGAGGGUGCGAGCGUUAAUCGGAUUUACUGGGCGUAAAGCGUGCGUAGGCGGCUGAUUAAGUCGGAUGUGAAAUCCCUGAGCUUAACUUAGGAAUUGCAUUCGAUACUGGUCAGCUAGAGUAUGGGAGAGGAUGGUAGAAUUCCAGGUGUAGCGGUGAAAUGCGUAGAGAUCUGGAGGAAUACCGAUGGCGAAGCAGCCAUCUGGCCUAAUACUGACGCUGAGGUACGAAAGCAUGGGGAGCAAACAGGAUUAGAUACCCUGGUAGUCCAUGCCG